Molecule: long non-coding RNA, 2036 nt
Filed under: Pelobates cultripes (western spadefoot toad)
Lineage: Eukaryota; Metazoa; Chordata; Amphibia; Anura; Pelobatidae
Source: RNAcentral
UGUACAUCUAGCUUGUCAACAAAUUCCGUGAACCCCCCAGUCCAGAGCCAGUUUAAUGGUUCUUGUUUUACUGACCUCAGAAUGGUGCAAGACUUAGCUGGGAAUGAAAUCGAGAUUCUGCAGCGUAUCUAGUGUACACAUUGUAACUGAAUUUAAAGGAUGGGUCGAUGGACCUGUACCAUCAUAAUAGAAUGUUUGUCGAUAUCAAAAGGAAAAUGCAAUGACUUAGACAGUAUAAUAACAAUUUUACAUGUAUAUCACUGUCAUGCCAUCACAUGAAUACAUUUGUGUAUUUACUUGCAUAAGCUGUUGUGACAUCAUGUUUGUGCCUGUAUUUACCCGAUUUGUGCAAAAAUAAAGAACGUUUAAAUUUUUUUUAUAAAAAUAGGAAAAUAAAGGUUAAAAGCAAAGGUCAUGUGUAGUUGGGCCACCUUUUUAAAGAAUGGUUUGGAUGGUGCUUUAAAAUGCAAAAAAAAGAAUUACAUGCAAACAUAAACCAUACUCACUUCUCACGGUUACUCAUAGUGACGUCUCACAGGAAGCGGCUCAGAUCUCAGCUUUCUAAUUAACCGCAAACAGGAUACAACAUAUAAUGUUACUAUAUCCACCAUGUUUCAGACAAAUAAUACGUAUUGAUAGGCAAAAUCAGACAGGAAGUUAAAUCAUUGUAUAUUGUAUAUACAGCAUCUUUCAUGUGCUGCCCAACAGCCCAUCAAUAUGAAGAAAUGUACGUCCAAGAAAAUGUCACGGUAACCGUAAAAAAAAUCCAAAACUUGGGUAGAUUCAUUCUUUAAAUAAAUAAAUACAUACAUACAAAUAAUAAUUUAGCUUCUUGCAGUAAAGAUAAAGUAAAAGUUCCGCAUUCUGUCUAAGUUGUAAAGUUACUUUUGCCCUUAGUGCGACAAUACACCCACUCUUCCUCUUUUUUGCAUAAAUCCCUUCCUUUUAUAUAAUAUUUUUGGACGUUCUUGGUACGUUGCUGUUAUCACAUUACAUUGUUCCCAUUGUCUUCAUUGUUCCUGUUCCCGGGACAGUUUUGUUUGACACCCCGGGUGAUCUGGUCUCAUUUUGGGAGAAGUAAAUAUUAGGAUGAAAUCAGGUUAAAUCUAGUUAAAGAAGGAAUUGAAAAAAAAUGUUAUUUUGCAAUAAACCCACAAUCCAGUGCAAGGUAUUAAGUCCUAUGCUGACAGUUAAAUGACAGGGAAUUAUUUCAAGCUGUAGAGCAUGCAGAGACAGGUAAAAGGGGGCCAGUUUAGAAAAUGCCAGCAGCAUGCACAAUAUCCACUAAUAGGGCAGGUAGUGUUGGGCAGGUGUACAGGAUAUAGAGCAGGUAGUGUUGGGCAGGUGUACAGAAUACAGAGCAGGUAGUGUUGGGCAGGUGUACAGGAUACAGAGCAGGUAUUGUUGGGCAGGUGUAUAGAAUACAGAGCAGGUAGUGUUGGACAGGUGUACAGGAUACAGAGCAGGUAGUGUUGGACAGGUGUACAGAAUACAGAGCAGGUAGUGUUGGAUAGGUGUACAGGAUAUAGAGCAGGUAGUGUUGGGCAGGUGUAUAGAAUACAGAGCAGGUAGUGUUGGGCAGGUGUACAGGAUACAGAGCAGGUAGUGUUGGACAGGUGUACAGGAUACAGAGCAGGUAGUGUUGGACAAGUGUACAGGAUAUAGAGCAGGGAGUGUUGGACAGGUGUGCAGGAUAUAGAGCAGGUAGUGUUGGACAGGUGUACAGGUGUACAGGAUACAGAGCAGGUAGUGUUGGACAGGUGUACAGGAUAUAAAGCCGGGAGUGGUGGACAGGUGGACAGGAUAUAAAGCCGGGAGUGGUGGACAGGUGUGCAGGAUACAGAGCAGGUAGUGCUGGACAGGUGUGUAGGAUACAGAGCAGGAAUGUUGCCGGAAUGCUAGUUUUGAGAAGCAGGGAUAUAGAAUGAGGAGCAGGGGAACAGGCUGGGGAGCAGUGGUACAGUCUAGAGAGCAUUGUCUAUGGCUAUGGGGAGGCUUAGAGGUAAAAUGAUCUCAGCAGUCACUUUGCAGACAAG